This 830-nucleotide long non-coding RNA is filed under the name Homo sapiens (human). RNAcentral describes it as "OBSCN antisense RNA 1". Lineage: Eukaryota; Metazoa; Chordata; Mammalia; Primates; Hominidae. The record is from RNAcentral.
CGCGUCGUCGUCGGCCGAGACAUUGCGCACGGUCAGGCGGCGCUCGGUGCCCUCCUCCUCGAUGCCGUACUUGGCGCUCGCCCACAACCGCGUCUCCUCCUUGAACCACGCGGCCUCAGUGGACGGCUGGGGCACCUCACAUAGGAACGUGGCCGACUCCUUCUCCCGCACCUCCAGAUCUUGCAGCCGCUUUUUGAAGGGAACCGCGGGCUCUGCCAGGAGAGAAGACUGGAACGGACACCUGCAACCCUGGAUUCCACGACCGGACAGACGCGGGUGGGAAACGGCAGACCGCAAGGGCGAAAGGACCCAGGUGCACGGGUUGCGGAGGAGCCUGGGCCCGCGCGCCCCGCACCCAGGAGCUCACCGCGCACUACGACCAGCACAGAGCUGUAGGUCUGGCCCACGAGGUUGGACGCCGUGCAGGUGUAGAGGCCGCGGUCCGACUGCUUGCAGAAGAGGAUCUUGAGCACGAAGUUCUCCUGCGCGUCCUCGUACACCACGUGGCGCCGGCCCUCGGUCACCAGCUGGCCGUCCUUCUUCCACACCGUCUCGGGCUUGGGCUCGCCGGUCACGUAGCAGCUGAGGCGCGCGUGCUUGCCUUCAGUCACCGUGCAGGUGCGCGUGCCGGUGCUGGGCGGUGAGGCGGGGGCGCCCUCGGCGCGCAUAGCCUCGCGCCGCCGCUGCAGGUGCGCCAGGAGCGCGGCCGUGGAGGUCCCGGGCCGGCUGGCCGUGUCCGCGGCGUCCGAGUCCACCACUAGCGCCGCGGCGGCGCUGGCAGCGCCCAGCGGGUUCUCGGCGCGGACCUCGUAAGUGCCGCCGUCGCGCGG